This is a long non-coding RNA of Daucus carota subsp. sativus, 1163 nucleotides long. RefSeq lists it as uncharacterized. The record is from RefSeq and is a predicted model, not a curated record. The transcript is spliced from 2 exons. NCBI's taxonomy places the organism in Eukaryota, Viridiplantae, Streptophyta, Magnoliopsida, Apiales, Apiaceae.
AAUUGUCCUCACCUGCUGCUUCUCUCUCCCGCCGUUGUUCUCUCUCUACUCUCUAACGGCUGCAUCUAUCUCGCGCGUACUCUCCUCUAGUUCAAGCGUUAUUUAUGAACAAACUUGUGAGAUCUAAGCAUCUUCUCUCUUUCCGUAUUCUUCUCGGUAUCUUUAAUUAAGUAGAAAGUUUGCAGCUUUUUUAUAUUUAUUGCUUCGAUGAUAAAUUGUCGCCAUAAAUGUUGUUUUUGUUCAAUUUGUUGAGUUUGACAUAAGUAAUUUGGCUUAUAUAUGAGUUUUGUGUAUAUCAUGAAUUUUGUUAAAAUUAAUCUGAUGUUGUGUUUUAUUUCAUAUUGUUUUGUAUCGAAGUAUGUUAACCUUUAGUAUUCCGAUCUAAUGUUCUAUUGAUUAACACUUUUUUGUUCGCUGUUUAUGUGUUCAGUUUUCAGGUAAUUUAGUUUUUUCCGUUUAAAAGUUGAUCACUUCAGAAUUAGUGAAGAUUAGUAACAAUCAAGGUAAAUAUUAGUGAUUAGUGUGAUUAUUAAGAGUUAAUUAGUGUGAUUAUUAAGUGAUAAUUAUUGUGAUUAUUUUUGUUAUUAUGAUUUAUAUGAUUUCUGUGAUGAUUAACUAAUUACUACUGUGAGUACUAUGAUUAUUAACUAUUUACUGUUGUGGUUAAAUUCAACGGCAUCAUGGUGGUUUGGAUGCAUCAUGAUGUGACUUCUUGUAAGAGUUGGCAUUUCAGUAAGAGAGUUGCUCUAUGAGAGACAAUUAAAAAUUAUAAUUCAAAGUGUAUAUCUGUUGGGAGGCUUCAAGGACCUGCAAUUUUUAGAAGUUUCUGGGAUUGCUGCAUUGUUGCCUGAUUUCUUUGCCACCAUUCGGUUCAUAACUUGGGUGGUAGCUCUCUUGAUUGAUUUAGAGGUGGAGCAGCUGUGUGGGAGGUCUGGCACUCAUAAAUCAUAAUCAGUGGAGUGAUUGCUUUUUAUCUAUAGGGAGGUGUUCACUUGUGUUCAUUAGGUUGGAUUUUUUUUUCUUUUCUCCGUUGGAGGCUUUGUAUUUUCAAUUUUUAGUUCUGUUUUGGUAUUGCCUCUUUGAGUGUUGUUCUUGGGGGGAUUUUUUUUAAGUGGACUCUUUGUAUAUUUUUUCUUUUUAUGUUAUAAAGUCAAUAUGAUGUG